This 245-nucleotide ribosomal RNA is filed under the name uncultured Actinomycetes bacterium. RNAcentral describes it as "uncultured actinobacterium partial 16S ribosomal RNA". It matches the Rfam family "Bacterial small subunit ribosomal RNA", at positions 524 to 768 of the family's 1533-position model. Lineage: Bacteria; Bacillati; Actinomycetota; Actinomycetes. The record is from RNAcentral.
UACGUAGGGGGCGAGCGUUGUCCGGAAUCAUUGGGCGUAAAGCGCGUGUAGGCGGCUUGGCAAGUCCGAUGUGAAAGCUCGAGGCUCAACCUCGAGUCUGCAUUGGAAACUGCUUUGCUAGAGUCCGGAAGAGGGGACUGGAAUUCCUGGUGUAGCGGUGAAAUGCGCAGAUAUCAGGAAGAACACCGGUGGCGAAGGCGGGUCCCUGGGACGGUACUGACGCUGAGACGCGAAAGCGUGGGGAG